Molecule: ribosomal RNA, 1412 nt
Filed under: metagenome
Description: bacterial SSU rRNA
Rfam family: Archaeal small subunit ribosomal RNA
Source: RNAcentral
GGCUCAAGACAUGCAAGUUAAAAGGCUCGGAAGAGUUCUUGGCGAACGGCUCAGUAACACGUAGCUAAUCUACCUUCAAGAAGGGUUAAUCCCGGGAAACUGGGGAUAAUGCCCUAUAGAUGAUUGCAACUGGAAUGUGCUUUCAUCCAAAAAAUUCUGCUAUUCUGCAGAUGAUUGCUUGAGGAUGAGGCUGCGGCGCAUUAGGCUGUUGGCGGGGUAACUGCCCACCAAACCAAUGAUGCGUACGGGCCCUGAAAGGGGUAGCCCGGAGAAGGGAACUGAGACAAGGUCCCUAGCCCUACGGGGUGCAGCAGUCGCGGAACCUUUACACUGCGCGAAAGCGUGAUAGGGGGAUUUCGAGUGACCACACUGUGGUCUUUUGCCAAACCUAAAUAGUUUGGCGAAUAAAGGGGGGGCAAUAUACGUGCCAGCCGCCGCGGUAAUACGUAACCCCUAAGUGGUUUCCACUUGUAUUGGGCCUAAAACACCUGUAGCCGGUGCAGACAGUUCUUGGUGAAAUCAACCCGCUCAACGGGUUGAAUUGCUAAGAAUACUACUGUGCUUGGGGAAGGAAGACGUAAAGAGAAUUUCUGGGGUAACGGUGAAAUGUUAUGAUCCCAGAACGACUACCAGUAGCGAAGGCGCUUUACGAGAACUAUCCCGACGGUGAGAGAUGAAAGCUGGGGGAGCGACCUGGAUUAGAUACCCAGUUAGUCCCAGCUGUAAACGGUGUGGACUAGGUGUCCCCGUUCCUAUAUGGAUUGGGGGUGCCGACGCGAAGGCAUUAAGUCCACUGCCUGGGGAGUACGCCCGCAAGGGUGAAACUUAAUGGAAUUGGCGGGGGCUCACUACAAGGGGUGGAUGCUGCGGUUUAAUUGGAUACAACGCCUGAAAAUCUUACCAGGGAAGACAGCAGAGUGAUAGUCAGUCUGAAGGGCUUUCUUGACACGCUGAGAGGUCCUGUAUGGCCACCGCCAGCUCGUACUGUGAAGCUUCCUGUUAACUCAGGCAACGGGCGAGACCCACGCGGUCAGUUACUACUGUCUCUUUUGAGACGGGCACUUUGAUCGGACAGCGAGAGUAAUCUCGAGGAAGGAGUGGUCAACGGUAGGUCUGUAUGAGCCGAAUUUCCUGGGCAACACGCGGCAUACAAUGGUUAAUACAAUGGGUUGCUAACCCGAAAGGGGGCGCUAAUCUCUCAAAAUUAACCUCAGUUCGGAUCGAGGGCUGUAACUCGCCCUCGUGAAGCUGGAAUCCCCAGUAAUCGCGCGUCACCAUCGCGCGGUGAAUAAGUCCCUGAGCCUUGCACACACCGCCCAUCAAGCCAGCCGAGUAGAGUUAAGAUGAAUCUGUUUCCUUAGUGAUGCAGCUAAUUCUUGGCUUUGCGAGGGGGGCUAAGUUGUAACAAGGUG